Molecule: ribosomal RNA, 630 nt
Filed under: Aspergillus flavipes
Lineage: Eukaryota; Fungi; Ascomycota; Eurotiomycetes; Eurotiales; Aspergillaceae
Also listed under: 1 other name
Description: eukaryotic LSU rRNA
Rfam family: Eukaryotic large subunit ribosomal RNA
Source: RNAcentral
CCUCGGAUCAGGUAGGGAUACCCGCUGAACUUAAGCAUAUCAAUAAGCGGAGGAAAAGAAACCAACCGGGAUUGCCUCAGUAACGGCGAGUGAAGCGGCAAGAGCUCAAAUUUGAAAGCUGGCCCCUUCGGGGUCCGCAUUGUAAUUUGCAGAGGAUGCUUCGGGUGCAGCCCCCGUCUAAGUGCCCUGGAAUGGGCCGUCAGAGAGGGUGAGAAUCCCGUCUGGGAUGGGGUGCCUGUGCCCGUGUGAAGCUCCUUCGACGAGUCGAGUUGUUUGGGAAUGCAGCUCUAAAUGGGUGGUAAAUUUCAUCUAAAGCUAAAUAUUGGCCGGAGACCGAUAGCGCACAAGUAGAGUGAUCGAAAGAUGAAAAGCACUUUGAAAAGAGAGUUAAACAGCACGUGAAAUUGUUGAAAGGGAAGCGCUUGCGACCAGACUCGCCUCCGGGGUUCAGCCGGCAUUCGUGCCGGUGUACUUCCCCGGGGGCGGGCCAGCGUCGGUUUGGGCGGCCGGUCAAAGGCCUCCGGAAUGUAGCGCCCUUCGGGGCGCCUUAUAGCCGGGGGUGCAAUGCGGCCAGCCUGGACCGAGGAACGCGCUUCGGCUCGGACGCUGGCAUAAUGGUCGUAAACGACC